AGAGUUUGAUCAUGGCUCAGAUUGAACGCUGGCGGAAUGCUUUACACAUGCAAGUCGAACGAUGAACCCUAGCUUGCUAGGGGGAUUAGUGGCGAACGGGUGAGUAAUAUAUCGGAACGUGCCUUGUAAUGGGGGAUAACUAGUCGAAAGAUUAGCUAAUACCGCAUACGCCCUGAGGGGGAAAGUAGGGGAUCUUCGGACCUUACGUUAUAAGAGCGGCCGAUAUCUGAUUAGCUAGUUGGUGGGGUAAUGGCCUACCAAGGCGACGAUCAGUAGCUGGUCUGAGAGGACGACCAGCCACACUGGAACUGAGACACGGUCCAGACUCCUACGGGAGGCAGCAGUGGGGAAUUUUGGACAAUGGGCGCAAGCCUGAUCCAGCCAUUCCGCGUGAGUGAAGAAGGCCUUCGGGUUGUAAAGCUCUUUCGCAAGGGAAGAAAACUUACACAAUAACACUGUGUGAGGCUGACGGUACCUUGAUAAGAAGCACCGGCUAACUACGUGCCAGCAGCCGCGGUAAUACGUAGGGUGCGAGCGUUAAUCGGAAUUACUGGGCGUAAAGCGUGCGCAGGCGGUUUGGCAAGUCAGAUGUGAAAUCCCCGAGCUCAACUUGGGAACUGCGUUUGAAACUGCCAGACUAGAAUAUGUCAGAGGGGGGUAGAAUUCCACGUGUAGCAGUGAAAUGCGUAGAGAUGUGGAGGA
This 702-nucleotide ribosomal RNA is filed under the name uncultured bacterium. Its description in RNAcentral is "bacterial SSU rRNA". It matches the Rfam family "Bacterial small subunit ribosomal RNA", at positions 8 to 705 of the family's 1533-position model. The record is from RNAcentral.